Molecule: ribosomal RNA, 345 nt
Filed under: Amblyomma sp. 1 DM-2017
Lineage: Eukaryota; Metazoa; Arthropoda; Arachnida; Ixodida; Ixodidae
Description: partial 12S ribosomal RNA
Source: RNAcentral
AUUAUUAUGAUUAUAAUAUUGUUAGUAUAUAAAAAUUAUGAAAACAAAAAAUUAUGGCGGUACUUUAAGCUCUUCAGAGGAAUUUGCUCUAUAAUGGAUAAAACACCAAAAUCUUACUAGAAUUUGUAAAAUCAGUUUGUAUACCACUAUAAGAGUAAUAAAUAAUUUUUAUUACUAAAAUUUUAUAAAAUGUAUAAAAGUAAAUUAAGUCAUGGUGCAACAAAAAUUUUAGAUUGAAGUGAAUUACAUUUCUUUUAAGAAAUUAUAAUUUUUAAAAAAAAAAUUAGGAUUUGAAAGUAAAAUUUUAAUAGUAUGAAAAUUUGAAUAGAGUUCUGAAGUAUGUAC